Molecule: ribosomal RNA, 441 nt
Filed under: Aituaria borutzkyi
Lineage: Eukaryota; Metazoa; Arthropoda; Arachnida; Araneae; Nesticidae
Description: partial large subunit ribosomal RNA
Rfam family: Bacterial large subunit ribosomal RNA
Source: RNAcentral
UUUUUAAUGCCCUAAAAUUAAAUAAAGCCUGCUCCAUGAAAUUAAUAGCCGCAGAAAAUUUACUGUGCUAAGGUAGCAUAAUCACUUGUCUCCUAAUUAGAGCCUAGAAUGAAAGGCUAAACAAUUAAUUUAUUUUUUUAAAUAGUUAUAAUUAACUUAUAAUAAAUAUAAAAAUAUAUUUAUAAAUGUAAAAGACGACAAGACCCUAUCGAACUUAACUUUAGUUAAGCUGGGGAAGCUAAUUAAUAAUUAAUUUAAUUUUUAAAUCAAAAUUAAAACCCAAUAAAUUGAAUUAUAAUCAAGUUACCGUAGGGAUAACAGCGCAAUAUUUCUUCAAAGCUCUUAUAAAAAGAAAAGUUUGCGACCUCGAUGUUGAAUUAAUUUUUCUUAUUAGCGCAAGAGCUAAAAUAAGUGGGUCUGUUCGACCUUUCAUAAAUUACA